UAAUAUCCAAGUUCAUAAAUUAAGUUUUAACAAUACAUCCAAAAUAACAAUAUUACAUCGUCCUCCAACAUCUAAAAAUGAAAUCCACAUACACAAUAUCCGAAAGUCCAAGACAUCCAAAUUCCAAAAAUCAAAUACUCCAAAACAACAUAAACAUGACAUCCGCAAUAAAUUUCAAAUUAAAACCACAUCCAACGCCCAAGUUCCAACAACAAUCCUCAAUUCCUCAUUGAAUCUAUAAGCAAAAAUAGAAUAUAAACAUCAUAUUAUCCUCAUUGAAAUUUAAAGUUUAUUCAUUUGAGUUUAAAAUAUUACCGCAAUUCCUUUUCCUUUGUUCGUUCGAGUUGUUUGAGGAGCUUCAAUUUCAGGAACACUUGAUGAAAUGGUUGAACUUGUAGAUAUAAUAUUUGCUUUUCUUCUUUUAUAUUCUACAACAAAGAACAAAAGUUAAUUGUAAACCAAUUAAUAUAAACUUAUAAACCAAACUAUACAAAACAAAAUAAUUACCUUCUUCACACUCUUGAUAAAAUUCAAGCUCUGCAGGACUUGCUUCAUAUUCAAUGUUGCCAAUUGGUUCACUUCUUAACCAGUUUUGGAGGCACAUCAAUGACUCCACUGUUUGAGGAAGGAGACAUGAUCUAUAGGGGUACUUUGACUUUGAGAGUGAGACAUAAUGUAGAAAGAAAUCUGUAAAUAUAUAAAACCAAACUGCACAUAUAUCAAAACUGCACAUAUAUAAUCAAAACUGCACAUAUAAAAAUCAAAACUGCACAUGUAUAAAAUAAAUCAAAACUGCACAUGUAUAAAUCAAAACUGCACAUAUAAGUAUAACAAGGAACUUGAGGACAUGAAUUUGAAAUUACCUUCUCGUUUAAGGAAUUGAGAAAUCAACCAACUAAUCCCAGAAUAGUUAGCUCAGUCUUGCUCCUCAAAGAAUGUAUGCUCGAUCUAUAUAAAACCAAACUGCACAUAUAUCAAAACUGCACAUAUAUAAAUCAAAACUGCACAUGUAUAAAUCAAAACUGCACAUAUAUAAAAACUGCACAUAUAAGUAAAACAAAACACACACACACACACACACACACAGAACAUACACACACACACGCACAUACACACAUACACACACAGAACAUAC
RNAcentral lists this long non-coding RNA (1135 nucleotides) under Malus domestica (apple). RNAcentral describes it as "long non-coding RNA (MDOM_LNC010991)". The record is from RNAcentral. Lineage: Eukaryota; Viridiplantae; Streptophyta; Magnoliopsida; Rosales; Rosaceae.